GGACGAGUAGCUCAGUUGGUUAGAGCAUUCGCUUGACGUGCGAAAGGUCGGGGGUUCAAGUCCCUUCUCGUCCA
RNAcentral lists this transfer RNA (74 nucleotides) under Candidatus Woesebacteria bacterium. RNAcentral's name for it is "tRNA-Val". It matches the Rfam family "tRNA". From Rfam's summary of the family: Transfer RNA (tRNA) molecules are approximately 80 nucleotides in length. Their secondary structure includes four short double-helical elements and three loops (D, anti-codon, and T loops). The record is from RNAcentral. Lineage: Bacteria; Candidatus Woeseibacteriota.